CACAAGUAGAUGAAGCUGCCAGCAUGAUCUGAAAGCUAGCUAUGUUGCAUGUUGAUCUUGAUGGUCAUCUCCAUCAAGAUUGAAGACCAUGGGCAUGGCUGCAAUCAGGUCAUGUGGCAGCUUCAUUUUCUCAUGG
RNAcentral lists this microRNA precursor (136 nucleotides) under Aegilops tauschii. Its description in RNAcentral is "miR167d stem-loop (ata-MIR167d)". Its record names the gene ata-MIR167d. It matches the Rfam family "MIR167 microRNA precursor family". The record is from miRBase by way of RNAcentral. Lineage: Eukaryota; Viridiplantae; Streptophyta; Magnoliopsida; Poales; Poaceae.